RNAcentral lists this ribosomal RNA (487 nucleotides) under uncultured bacterium. RNAcentral's name for it is "partial 16S ribosomal RNA". It matches the Rfam family "Bacterial small subunit ribosomal RNA", at positions 28 to 507 of the family's 1533-position model. The record is from RNAcentral.
GAUGAACGCUAGCGAUAGGCUUAACACAUGCAAGUCGAGGGGCAGCACAAGGUAGCUUGCUCUCUGGGUGGCGACCGGCGCACGGGUGCGUCACGCGUAUGCAACUUGCCCUAUACAGGAGGAUAACCCGUCGAAAGACGGACUAAUACUGCGUAUGCUCACAACUUGGCAUCAAGUGGUGAGGAAAGAAAUUCGGUAUAGGAUAGGCAUGCGUCCCUUUAGCUUGUUGGUGAGGUAACGGCACACCAAGGCAACGCUGGGCAGGGGAACUGAGAGGUAUGUCCCCGACACUGGUACUGGGACACAGACCAGACACCUACGACAGGGAGCAGUCAGGAAGAGUAGUCAAGAGACCCGAACCUAAACCAGCCAAGUCGCGUGAAGGAUGACUGUCUUAUGGAUUGUAAACUUCUUUUAAACGAGAAUAACAAGAGUAACGAGUGAGUCCCUGCAAGUACCGUAUGAAUAAGCAUCGGCUAACUCCGUG